This 317-nucleotide unclassified non-coding RNA is filed under the name fungal sp. RNAcentral describes it as "partial internal transcribed spacer region". The stretch from base 1 to 46 matches the Rfam family "Eukaryotic small subunit ribosomal RNA", at positions 1786 to 1831 of the family's 1831-position model. Lineage: Eukaryota; Fungi. The record is from RNAcentral.
AAGUCGUAACAAGGUUUCCGUAGGUGAACCUGCGGAAGGAUCAUUAACGAAACAAAUGUCGGCGUGGGGCCCGGAAGGUGGUUGUGCUGGUGCGGCUUGCCGCGCAUGUGCACGCCUCCUCUCCCCGUCCUGCCCGGCUUUCCAUCCCAACACACACCUGUGCACACAAAGUCUGUCUGUGGGGGAAUGCUGCCGAUUGGGGUAGCGUGUUUCCUGCAGCACAGGCUUGUUUUCCAUCACACAUCCCAUUUGUUGUCUUGUCGAAUGUUUAUUGCUAUAAAUGAAAACAACUUUUAACAACGGAUCUCUUGGUUCUC